This is a non-coding RNA of Bemisia tabaci, 150 nucleotides long. The record is from RefSeq and is a predicted model, not a curated record. Lineage: Eukaryota; Metazoa; Arthropoda; Insecta; Hemiptera; Aleyrodidae.
GUCGUGCUUAAAGACAGCUCGGCGAUUUGACGGGCGCAUUCUUCGGGGCCGAUCUUGAGUCUGAGGCAGUGUUUAUUGGAGAAGUACUGGGAAGCUUUGGCGACGAUGAGAGCGUCUUUGGCGAGGCUGAGGGCGCCCGUCUCGGGGAAG